Molecule: ribosomal RNA, 403 nt
Filed under: uncultured bacterium
Lineage: Bacteria
Description: bacterial SSU rRNA
Rfam family: Bacterial small subunit ribosomal RNA
Source: RNAcentral
GUGGGGAAUAUUGGACAAUGGGCGAAAGCCUGAUCCAGCAAUGCCGCGUGAGUGAUGAAGGCCCUAGGGUUGUAAAGCUCUUUUACCCGGGAUGAUAAUGACAGUACCGGGAGAAUAAGCUCCGGCUAACUUCGUGCCAGCAGCCGCGGUAAUACGAGGGGAGCUAGCGUUGUUCGGAAUUACUGGGCGUAAAGCGCGCGUAGGCGGUUUUUUAAGUCAGAGGUGAAAGCCCGGGGCUCAACCCCGGAAUUGCCUUUGAAACUGGAAGACUAGAAUCUUGGAGAGGUCAGUGGAAUUCCGAGUGUAGAGGUGAAAUUCGUAGAUAUUCGGAAGAACACCAGUGGCGAAGGCGACUGACUGGACAAGUAUUGACGCUGAGGUGCGAAAGCGUGGGGAGCAAACA